UACAGAGGGUGCGAGCGUUAAUCGGAAUUACUGGGCGUAAAGCGCGCGUAGGCGGCUUUGCAAGUCGGGGGUGAAAUCCCCAGGCUUAACCUGGGAACUGCAUUCGAGACUGCAUUGCUAGAGUAUGGGAGAGGGAAGUGGAAUUUCAGGUGUAGCGGUGAAAUGCGUAGAUAUCGUAAGGAAGACCAGUGGCGAAGGCGGGUCUCUGGACAGUUCCUGACGCUGAGGCACGAAGGCCAGGGGAGCAAACGGG
RNAcentral lists this ribosomal RNA (253 nucleotides) under uncultured bacterium. Its description in RNAcentral is "partial 16S ribosomal RNA". It matches the Rfam family "Bacterial small subunit ribosomal RNA", at positions 524 to 776 of the family's 1533-position model. The record is from RNAcentral.